UACGUAGGGGGCUAGCGUUGUCCGGAAUCAUUGGGCGUAAAGAGCGUGUAGGCUGCUCGGUAAGUCCGCUGUAAAAGUCAAAGGCUCAACCUUUGAAUGUCAGUGGAUACUGCCGGGCUAGAGUCCGGAAGAGGCGAGUGGAAUUCCGGGUGUAGCGGUGAAAUGCGUAGAGAUCCGGAGGAACACCAGUGGCGCAGGCGGCUCUCUGGGUCGGCCCUGACGCUGAGGCGCGAAAGCGUGGGGAGCAAACAGG
RNAcentral lists this ribosomal RNA (253 nucleotides) under uncultured bacterium. Its description in RNAcentral is "partial 16S ribosomal RNA". It matches the Rfam family "Bacterial small subunit ribosomal RNA", at positions 524 to 776 of the family's 1533-position model. The record is from RNAcentral.